UACAGAGGUCUCAAGCGUUGUUCGGAUUUAUUGGGCGUAAAGGGUGCGCAGGCGGUGUGGUAAGUUUGGUGUGAAAUCCUGGGGCUCAACCCCAGAAUUGCACUGAAUACUGCCAUGCUAGAGGACUGGAGAGGAGAUUGGAAUUCACGGUGUAGCAGUGAAAUGCGUAGAUAUCGUGAGGAAGGCCAGUGGCGAAGGCGAAUCUCUGGACAGUUCCUGACGCUCAUGCACGAAGGCCAGGGGAGCAAACGGG
Molecule: ribosomal RNA, 253 nt
Filed under: uncultured bacterium
Lineage: Bacteria
Description: partial 16S ribosomal RNA
Rfam family: Bacterial small subunit ribosomal RNA
Source: RNAcentral